CUCUGAAACAUCGAGGUCAUAUAUAUCGUUUUCUUGCAAAAACUGGGUCGGGAAGUUCGCAGGCAGAACGUACACAGAAACAAGCCUUUAGAAAAACAUGCCCAGAGGCUUGUUCAUCACCCUCUACUCACAGAUGCAAAAUUUCCUCAAUACCAUCCUGGUCGCAUCAACAACAGGAGAAACAACGAGAAGGCAAAAACAGAGCCGCAGGACAGUGCGAGAAGACUGAAAGCAGCUUGCUCCUCCUCCCUUAGCCUUCUCUGUUUCUUCACGACACCACCAUCGGAUGAUGAUGAUGAUGGGAUACGGCUUAAAAGAUCGGAUGGAGAAGAAAUAUAUGAGCAAAGAAGAUCAAAAUCCAGAAAUGUAAACCUUUGGUCCGGCUGGUCCACCUC
Long non-coding RNA from Tarenaya hassleriana, 395 nucleotides. RefSeq lists it as uncharacterized. The record is from RefSeq and is a predicted model, not a curated record. Lineage: Eukaryota; Viridiplantae; Streptophyta; Magnoliopsida; Brassicales; Cleomaceae. The transcript is spliced from 4 exons.